This 78-nucleotide transfer RNA is filed under the name Osteolaemus tetraspis (dwarf crocodile). Its description in RNAcentral is "tRNA-Phe". The record is from RNAcentral. Lineage: Eukaryota; Metazoa; Chordata; Crocodylia; Crocodylidae.
GUAGCUUAAACCACUAAAGCAUAACACUGAAAAUGUAAAAAUGGACAACCAAGUCCCUAAACAAAACCACGAACAUUA